UAGUUUAGUUCUUCAGAGACAACUAGUGC
This 29-nucleotide small RNA is filed under the name Bombyx mori (domestic silkworm). Its description in RNAcentral is "ovarian small RNA-23203". Lineage: Eukaryota; Metazoa; Arthropoda; Insecta; Lepidoptera; Bombycidae. The record is from RNAcentral.